AUCGUAGAGAAAAAAGAAUCUAGAAUAUUUUAUUCAAAUGUAAUAACUUGCUCUGUCCUUUUCAGCUGACAUCUUCUAGGCCACACAGCUGGGGAAUCGUUCCGGUUACUCACAUAACCUUAUUGAAGACUGUAUGGGGAAACAUACACCGGACUUCUGCUGUGUAUUUAGUGCUACACAUGCACAGUGUCAGAGAUCGUGUGCGGUCAGGUCUACUCAGUGGUCGUCGCCCCACUGAAUCCAGACGGAAACUAGGUCCAGUUCUUUAACAGCAGGCUGUAUUCAGUCACAUGUGUGGGCAGCAGUGUUGGAUUGGUGAUCUAUCAAGGAAAAAGAUAAUGAUGGGAUGGAUGUCCUUCAAACAGUGAGGUACGGCUAGUACAAACACGUGUGUUAAUUACACACAAUAGAGAGAGUCCUUCCUCUCUGAGCCCAGGACUGCCAGUCCUUUUACAGACUAAUGCACAGUAAAGUCCAUUAUAAUACACUUCUCUUGUCAGUGUCACAUCACAUCUGCUAACCAGGAUUCUGCCUUAUACUUACAGGAAUAGUUCACCCACAGAUCAAA
Molecule: long non-coding RNA, 568 nt
Organism: Cyprinus carpio (common carp)
Lineage: Eukaryota; Metazoa; Chordata; Actinopteri; Cypriniformes; Cyprinidae
Source: RefSeq, a predicted model, not a curated record